RNAcentral lists this ribosomal RNA (253 nucleotides) under uncultured bacterium. RNAcentral's name for it is "partial 16S ribosomal RNA". It matches the Rfam family "Bacterial small subunit ribosomal RNA", at positions 524 to 776 of the family's 1533-position model. The record is from RNAcentral.
UACGUAGGGGGCUAGCGUUGUCCGGAAUCAUUGGGCGUAAAGCGCGUGUAGGCGGUCCGGUAAGUCCGCUGUGAAAGUCGGGGGCUCAACCCUCGGAUGCCGGUGGAUACUGUCGGGCUUGAGUACGGAAGAGGCGAGUGGAAUUCCUGGUGUAGCGGUGAAAUGCGCAGAUAUCAGGAAGAACACCAAUGGCGAAGGCAGCUCUCUGGGACGGUACUGACACUGAGACGCGAAAGCGUGGGGAGCGAACAGG